GGAGAACUGUGAUGAAUCAUAUUUUGUUAUGUUUGCAAACUAACACGUUAGCUUUCACGGUUUCAUGAAUGCUGACAGAACACACCAGACUUCUGAGUCAGAGAUAAAAGACUAUUACAACAAAAGCAAUAGCCAGAGUAUCACCGUUUUUGAGUUGGCUCCCUGGACCCCAGUUCUCACAGGAACGAAGCACACAGGCCCAGAUGCAUGCUUACACACAAGAUGGGUUGCAUUACAGAAGAGGAAUGCUGAGCUUGGGGAACCCACCAUGUUAUAGUGAGCAGUAAGCAAGCCUGCUCUUUGUUCCAUAGGGAGACAUUACCUCAUCCCUCAAGAUUGCUCGCUGCAAACACAACGCUGAGAAAUGGCCCAAGUAAAGCGUGAUCAGGGUCUUGCAUUCUUGGCACAUCUAGGAAGAACGUGCAAGGAUGCGAAUUGUGAAUCGCUUCUCCAAACAGGAACAAUGGAGGCCUGCGAUUUGGAGUUAAACUCUCGGUGAUCUCUGUGUUGACAACACCAAAGCUAGAGGAAUCCAGUAGGAUGUGGGCAUGGUUUUCCCGGAAGGCUGACUGAGCAGUUCUGCAAAUGUUUGCAAGUACAGGGCAGAAUUUCAUCCAGCCUCGGAACCUUGAGCCAAGACUCAGCAUCAGCAAAGCCAAAAGUUUCAUUUCUUCAACUGUGGGAGUGCUAGUCCCACCCUUUAGAUGGCCAUUCAGUUUUAAGUUCAAUAAGCAUUUUGAUUGAGAAAUACUUUGCUGAGGAGUGAAAAGUCCUUGGCUUUGAAAGACGAAUGAUGAGCAGUUCAGUGGCCCAUGUCACAGUCCAGGCACCUGCCGAAGGUGACUCCUUGGGAGGAGCAUCUUAGUCACAGAGCCAGUGCCUGCUGUAGGUGUGCAGAAGGGUGCGUGUGUGUGUGUGUGUGUAUGUGUACGUGUACAUGUGUGUUGGGGGAAGGGAGCAAGGUUAUGGGAGCAUUUCUUAUCUGCUCUCCUCUGCAAGAUUUCCUGUGAUUUAAGUCACAUUAAAGUACCCAUAAGCCCAUAAUGCAAAAGAACCCCAAAACCAGCCCAGCAGCCAACCAUGGCAGCAAGUAGAUGCUCUGGUCUUUAGAUAGUCAGAAAUGACACUUCUGGGCUCUCAGGCAGUCAGUGGGUUGAGCUCCCCAUUAAAGUCCCCCUGCCAAGUCUGGAAUAGUCCUAGUCCCGUGUGUGUGUGUGUGUGUGUGUGUGUGUGUGUGUACCCGCGUGCAUAUGCGCGCAUGCAGUGCAGGGUCUGCAUACCUAAAGCAGAUGAAAUUCUGCAGAAUGGCUGCCUCACUAGACAAAGUCAAGAAGACAGACCGAGGAGAGAGAGGUUGAUGUGUCUCCACUACCAAGAGAUAGGCUUCUCUAAGCCAGCAAGACAUCCCAUCCAACAAUAUGAAACUGGCCACAUUUCCUUGAGAUGUCAACGUUGAAAGUGUAGCUGCAUCUUUAUUCUUCACUGUUAUGAAGUUGGGUGCAACAUAGCUUGAGUGGAAUACAAAAACACCGCUUGGAAACACAUGAUCUGGAUUUGAAUCGCAGCUGUAUCAUUCACCU
RNAcentral lists this long non-coding RNA (1580 nucleotides) under Pan troglodytes (chimpanzee). Its description in RNAcentral is "long non-coding RNA NONPTRT001151". The record is from RNAcentral. Lineage: Eukaryota; Metazoa; Chordata; Mammalia; Primates; Hominidae.